GUCUUACGGCAUAGGUGGCCUCUCAGAGUCUCAGCAAGGUCACUCUUUUCCAUAUGUAAUAAUGAGCCAUUGUUCUAUUCAUCAUGACCUCAUAGAGCCUUUUCUUUUUCUCAGGUCUCAUUUACUUCCUCUUUUUUUUUUCCUUUUCCUUUUCCUAUACCUUCCUUUGGUCCUUAUAAGUAUCCAAAUUGCCCUAAAAUAACUUCUGCACAUGCAGCAUUAGGAAGCAGUGUUUCCCAACCACUACAUUUGAAUGAAAUGAGGUCUUGCUAUGUUACCCAGGCCAGUCUUGAAUUCCUGGGCUCAAGUGAUCCUUCUUCCUCCGCCUCCUAAAGUGCUGCAAUUACAGGCAUGAGCCUUCAUACACAACCAAAUGGUGCCCUUAUGAGAGAAAAAUGUCAUGCAAAGACAUGGACACAGAGAGGAGUCCGUUCUGUGAGUGGAAGCCAAGAUUGGAGCAAUGCAGCCACAAGCCAAGGACUGAUUGCCACCUCCAGAAACUAGAAAAAGUCAAAGAAGGAUUCUAUCUAGAAUCUCCAGGAAAUCAUCACCUUGUUGCUAACUCUAUUUUGGAUUUCUAGUUCCCAGAACUAUUCAUUCCUCUGAGGACCCUCAAGUACUUCAGAAGAACUAAAAAAUGAAUAUCACGUUACACCAAAGAAGAAAUGAAAGCUGCCAGUGUCUUCUGAAGUUAAACAGGCUCCUGUUCUUUGACCCAGCAAUCCAAUCCUAGGUAUUUAAUUGUUCCCUGAGGUUUAAGGCAGUGGACUGAGGAUAAUACAGGCUCCAGCUUUCAUUAGUUCAAUGGAUGAUGCUGUUCAAUCCAUACUGUUUGGGGCAUUUGUUGAAAAUGUCAUUCAGAAGAUAUCAACACUUUCUGAGUCAUGGUUUGAUUGAAUUUAUAGAAUUAUGUGAUAGAAACCACAUUCUUCACAAAAGUCACAAGGCAAUAAUGACGACAAGGGUUGAAGAUGAAAGAUGCCAAAUAUUCUGAUCAAUUCAAUAAGGCAAAAAGACAAGUUAAUUCACUCAGUGCUCCAGGCAUCAACUUCAUAGAAGGAAUGGAAAUUCUACCUGUUUCCUAAAGAACUACAGAGGUGUACACCAAACGGAGGGCAAAUGCUGUUACCACUCAUCGUGCAAGACUUUUGAGGCAAUUUGGACAUAGACAAGUGAUGGGAAAAUUGAAUCAUUAUAUGGCUCAUGACAGUGUUGAAAACUCAAACAUCCAAGGACCUGUACCUUUGCUAAGUGCCAUGCAUAUGUUGCUGAUAAAGAUGCAAUAAA
RNAcentral lists this long non-coding RNA (1287 nucleotides) under Homo sapiens (human). RNAcentral's name for it is "HSALNT0375826". Lineage: Eukaryota; Metazoa; Chordata; Mammalia; Primates; Hominidae. The record is from RNAcentral.